Molecule: long non-coding RNA, 667 nt
Organism: Macrobrachium nipponense
Lineage: Eukaryota; Metazoa; Arthropoda; Malacostraca; Decapoda; Palaemonidae
Exons: 3
Source: RefSeq, a predicted model, not a curated record
CAACAACAAAGUAGGCGAUAAUUUCAUUACUUUCCGUUUUCCUUCCAGAUACGUCAGAGGACGCCCAACCUAAGAUACCUGAGAAUGAGCCUAAGAAGAAAGGACGCUUGAUAAUACGAAUCAUGCAGUGUGUGAACCUGCCGUAGAAGUACCCAUGGAAAAGGAAUGCGAACAGCCCCUUCUACGAAUCAUUUUGAUAAGCACGAUAUCUGAAGGCCAUCUGUUUCAAAUUCGUAGGUUUUCUGACUGGAAUUUCCCAGAUACAAUACUAAUCUCUUUUUCUACCAAUUGUCAAAUUUGUCUCGACAUUUCAUGUCCAGUGCCGUAAGUCCGUAAGAUCGAUUCAUAGAUAAGUAAAUAAUAACCUAUUUCUUUCAUUAACAGAGGUUUUAAAGUCUGAGGUUAACGUCAAAUAAUGCCAUUGUAUAUUGUUAAAAUAUUUGAUGAACUAAAAAGAAAAAAAUUAGGUGUGAUAAUGGCACCAAAAAUUGAUGAAUACAGGAUGAGGCACAUAAACAACUUAAACCUAUAAUUAGGGUGAUUAAUGAUGUGAUGACAAAAUAUCCGAUGUGUCUGAGUAAACUGGCUAAAUAUAAACUUAAGUUUACGUAAGGUUGUGUUCAUCAUUUCCAUUUUAUAAUGCAUAAGUAUGUACCUGCAAAUUUCG